Syzygium oleosum is the source of this 704-nucleotide RNA transcript. RefSeq lists it as uncharacterized. The transcript is spliced from 4 exons. NCBI's taxonomy places the organism in Eukaryota, Viridiplantae, Streptophyta, Magnoliopsida, Myrtales, Myrtaceae. The record is from RefSeq and is a predicted model, not a curated record.
AUCCCUUUACCGCAUGGCAAGAACGGUUCUUGUUAAAUAGAGGUAAAAGUGAAGAACCUGUGUGCAAAGCAGAGACAAUAUAACCCUGAGGGACGUUUGCUGAGUACUCGAACCCCCGGUAUCAGCGGGAGAGAGAUACAGGGAGAGAGAGGCAGAGCCAGAAGCAGAGAGAGAGAGAGGGAGAGAUGGAAGACGCCAAACGCGAUCUCGUCAAGCAGUUGAGGAGCCACGAAGUCGCCAUAGCUGAACUGGGUAGCCUUCAGCCUUCUCGGUCUGUUUAUCAGAAAAACGGGAACAUAUACUUCAGAACGACCAUCCAGAACGCGAAAGCAUCUGAGCAAAAAAAAGUCGAUUCGGCCAAAGCGAAGCUGGAGAGGCUGAAUGUAGCAUAAAAUCGGCACGACGACCCGGGGAAUGGCUGACUCUAAUGCUUCUCCUGUUCUUCAAUCUUUAGCUACAAGGUGCUCGAGAUUAUUGUUAGACUCUGAACAAAAGUUUGCUUAAGAAGCGCCUGUUGAGCUGUAGUUUUUGCGGUGUUUUGCUCUGAAUCCCAUUUGAAUUCCUCUCAGAUGGGCCAGCUAAUGGUUAAAGAGGAGCCUCCCGGCUAUUGUAAUAAGCAUAGCGGUGCUAGGAGUUUGAUUGGUAUCUGAAAUGAUUUUGAUACUAAUCUUGUCAAUAUUCAGUCACCGUUGCCAUUUUCGUUG